This 500-nucleotide ribosomal RNA is filed under the name uncultured bacterium. RNAcentral describes it as "partial 16S ribosomal RNA". It matches the Rfam family "Bacterial small subunit ribosomal RNA", at positions 30 to 523 of the family's 1533-position model. The record is from RNAcentral.
AUUGAACGCUGGCGGCAUGCCUUACACAUGCAAGUCGAACGGCAGCACGGGAGCAAUCCUGGUGGCGAGUGGCGAACGGGUGAGUAAAGUAUCGGAACGUGCCCAGUCGUGGGGGAUAACGUAGCGAAAGUUACGCUAAUACCGCAUACGAUCUAUGGAUGAAAGCGGGGGAUCGCAAGACCUCGCGCGAUUGGAGCGGCCGAUAUCAGAUUAGGUAGUUGGUGGGGUAAAGGCUCACCAAGCCGACGAUCUGUAGCUGGUCUGAGAGGACGACCAGCAAGAAGGGGACUGAGACACGGCCCAGACUCCUACGGGAGGCAGCGGUGGGGAAUUUUGGACAAUGGGCGAAAGCCUGAUCCAGCCAUGCCGCGUGCAGGAUGAAGGCCUUCGGGUUGUAAACUGCUUUUGUACGGAACGAAAAGGUUUGGCCUAAUAAGCUGAGCUCAUGACGGUACCGUAAGAAUAAGCACCGGCUAACUACGUGCCAGCCGCCGCAGUAA